This 657-nucleotide ribosomal RNA is filed under the name uncultured bacterium. RNAcentral's name for it is "bacterial SSU rRNA". It matches the Rfam family "Bacterial small subunit ribosomal RNA", at positions 59 to 710 of the family's 1533-position model. The record is from RNAcentral.
CAGUCGAACGGAGAUUAUACGCAGAGGCGAUUUCGGUCAAAUCAUGUAAAAUCUUAUUUGGCGGACGGGUGAGUAACGCGUGGGUAACCUGCCUUACACUGGGGGAUAACACUUAGAAAUAGGUGCUAAUACCGCAUAAGCGCACGAAGCCGCAUGGAUUUGUGUGAAAAACUCCGGUGGUGUAAGAUGGACCCGCGUCUGAUUAGCUUGUUGGCGGGGUAACGGCCCACCAAGGCGACGAUCAGUAGCCGGCCUGAGAGGGUGGACGGCCACAUUGGGACUGAGACACGGCCCAAACUCCUACGGGAGGCAGCAGUGGGGGAUAUUGGACAAUGGGGGGAACCCUGAUCCAGCGACGCCGCGUGAGUGAAGAAGUAUUUCGGUAUGUAAAGCUCUGUCAGCAGGGAAGAAAGAAAUGACGGUACCUGACCAAGAAGCCCCGGCUAACUACGUGCCAGCAGCCGCGGUAAUACGUAGGGGGCAAGCGUUAUCCGGAAUUACUGGGUGUAAAGGGAGCGUAGACGGUUAAGUAAGUCUGGAGUGAAAGGCCGGGGCCCAACCCCGGGACUGCUCUGGAAACUAUUGAACUUGAGUGCAGGAGAGGUAAGCGGAAUUCCUAGUGUAGCGGUGAAAUGCGUAGAUAUUAGGAGGAACACC